RNAcentral lists this ribosomal RNA (445 nucleotides) under uncultured bacterium. RNAcentral's name for it is "bacterial SSU rRNA". It matches the Rfam family "Bacterial small subunit ribosomal RNA", at positions 354 to 796 of the family's 1533-position model. The record is from RNAcentral.
GUGAGGAAUAUUGCGCAAUGGAGGCAACUCUGACGCAGCCAUGCCGCGUGCAGGAAGAAGGCGCUACGCGUUGUAAACUGCUUUUAACCGGGAAGAAACCCCUCUACGUGUGGAGGGUUGACGGUACCGGAGGAAUAAGCACCGGCUAACUUCGUGCCAGCAGCCGCGGUAAUACGAAGGGUGCAAGCGUUAUCCGGAUUCAUUGGGUUUAAAGGGUGCGUAGGUGGGGCGUUAAGUCAGUGGUGAAAUCCUGCAGCUCAACUGUAGACUUGCCAUUGAUACUGGCGUUCUUGAGUGCGCUUGAAGUAGGCGGAAUGUGCCGUGUAGCGGUGAAAUGCUUAGAUAUGGCACAGAACACCAAUUGCGAAGGCAGCUUACUAAGGCGAUACUGACACUGAGGCACGAAAGCGUGGGGAUCGAACAGGAUUAGAUACCCCAGUAGUCC